This 87-nucleotide small RNA is filed under the name Salix viminalis (osier). Lineage: Eukaryota; Viridiplantae; Streptophyta; Magnoliopsida; Malpighiales; Salicaceae. The record is from RNAcentral.
AGUCAACUAAAGAGACCUAAACAAGUCCAACAAUAACCUGAAAAUCUGGAUUUUCAAUAUACCCAAGUGGCGAAGACUUUGUUGAUU